This 297-nucleotide small RNA is filed under the name Arabidopsis thaliana (thale cress). RNAcentral describes it as "ATSL084610". Lineage: Eukaryota; Viridiplantae; Streptophyta; Magnoliopsida; Brassicales; Brassicaceae. The record is from RNAcentral.
UUUAAGAAAAGAAUACCGUUUCUCCUACCCGUCAAUAUUGAAAUAAUUUCAGAGGUUUUCCUUGUUCUGUGUCAACAAACAAUUCGAAAUGCCUCGACUUUAUCAAUUUUUUGAUAAUUCUGAACUUUAGACCAAAUGCAUAUGGACGAGCUAUAUUCUGGACCAAAAAACAAAUGGUCUAAUUGGGCAUAUGACCAGUUUUGUCCACGGAUAAUAUGGGCUUGACCAUAUGGACAACGGGCUGCCCAUGGGCAUGAAUUGAGUCAAUAGACAUGUCUUCAUUUAAUUGUAUUUUUA